RNAcentral lists this ribosomal RNA (253 nucleotides) under uncultured bacterium. RNAcentral's name for it is "partial 16S ribosomal RNA". It matches the Rfam family "Bacterial small subunit ribosomal RNA", at positions 524 to 776 of the family's 1533-position model. The record is from RNAcentral.
UACGUAGGGACCAAGCGUUGUUCGGAUUUACUGGGCGUAAAGGGUGCGUAGGCGGCUUAGUAAGUCAGUGGUGAAAGACUGUGGCUUAACCAUGGAAUUGCCAUUGAUACUGCUGAGCUUGAAUCAGGUUGAGGUUGGCGGAAUGUGACAUGUAGCGGUGAAAUGCUUAGAUAUGUCAUGGAACACCGAUUGCGAAGGCAGCUGACUGGACCUGUAUUGACGCUGAGGCACGAAAGCGUGGGGAGCGAACAGG